UACGUAGGGGGCAAGCGUUGUCCGGAAUCAUUGGGCGUAAAGAGCGUGUAGGCGGCCCGAUAAGUCCGCUGUGAAAGUCCAGGGCUCAACCCUGGGAUGCCGGUGGAUACUGUCGGGCUCGAGUCCGGAAGAGGCGAGUGGAAUUCCUGGUGUAGCGGUGAAAUGCGCAGAUAUCAGGAGGAACACCAAUGGCGAAGGCAGCUCGCUGGGACGUGACUGACGCUGAGACGCGAAAGCGUGGGGAGCAAACGGG
RNAcentral lists this ribosomal RNA (253 nucleotides) under uncultured bacterium. Its description in RNAcentral is "partial 16S ribosomal RNA". It matches the Rfam family "Bacterial small subunit ribosomal RNA", at positions 524 to 776 of the family's 1533-position model. The record is from RNAcentral.